GGGUUCGUAGCUCAGUUGGCUAGAGCAUCUGUUUUACACACAGAGGGUCACAGGUUCGAGUCCUGUCGAACCCACCA
This 77-nucleotide transfer RNA is filed under the name Candidatus Saccharimonadota bacterium. Its description in RNAcentral is "tRNA-Val". It matches the Rfam family "tRNA". Rfam says of the family: Transfer RNA (tRNA) molecules are approximately 80 nucleotides in length. Their secondary structure includes four short double-helical elements and three loops (D, anti-codon, and T loops). Further hydrogen bonds mediate the characteristic L-shaped molecular structure. tRNAs have two regions of fundamental functional importance: the anti-codon, which is responsible for specific mRNA codon recognition, and the 3' end, to which the tRNAs corresponding amino acid is attached (by aminoacyl-tRNA synthetases). tRNAs cope with the degeneracy of the genetic code in two manners: having more than one tRNA (with a specific anti-codon) for a particular amino acid; and 'wobble' base-pairing, i.e. permitting non-standard base-pairing at the 3rd anti-codon position. The record is from RNAcentral. Lineage: Bacteria; Candidatus Saccharimonadota.